GAUGAACGCUGGCGGCGUGCCUAAUACAUGCAAGUCGAGCGAACAGAUGAGGAGCUUGCUCCUCUGACGUUAGCGGCGGACGGGUGAGUAACACGUGGAUAACCUACCUAUAAGACUGGGAUAACUUCGGGAAACCGGAGCUAAUACCGGAUAAUAUAUUGAACCGCAUGGUUCAAUAGUGAAAGACGGUUUUGCUGUCACUUAUAGAUGGAUCCGCGCCGCAUUAGCUAGUUGGUAAGGUAACGGCUUACCAAGGCAACGAUGCGUAGCCGACCUGAGAGGGUGAUCGGCCACACUGGAACUGAGACACGGUCCAGACUCCUACGGGAGGCAGCAGUAGGGAAUCUUCCGCAAUGGGCGAAAGCCUGACGGAGCAACGCCGCGUGAGUGAUGAAGGUCUUCGGUUCGUAAAACUCUGUUAUUAGGGAAGAACAAAUGUGUAAGUAACUAUGCACGUCUUGACGGUACCUAAUCAGAAAGCCACGGCUAACUACGUG
RNAcentral lists this ribosomal RNA (497 nucleotides) under uncultured bacterium. Its description in RNAcentral is "partial 16S ribosomal RNA". It matches the Rfam family "Bacterial small subunit ribosomal RNA", at positions 28 to 507 of the family's 1533-position model. The record is from RNAcentral.